UGGGGAAUAUUGCACAAUGGGCGCAAGCCUGAUGCAGCCAUGCCGCGUGUAUGAAGAAGGCCUUCGGGUUGUAAAGUACUUUCAGUCGGGAGGAAGGUGGUAAGGUUAAUAACCUUAUCAAUUGACGUUACCGACAGAGGAAGCACCGGCUAACUCCGUGCCAGCAGCCGCGGUAAUACGGAGGGUGCAAGCGUUAAGCGGAAUUACUGGGCGUAAAGCGCACGCAGGCGGUUGAUUGAGUCAGAUGUGAAAUCCCCGGGCUUAACCCGGGAAUUGCAUCUGAUACUGGUCAGCUAGAGUCUUGUAGAGGGGGGUAGAAUUCCAUGUGUAGCGGUGAAAUGCGUAGAGAUGUGGAGGAAUACCGGUGGCGAAGGCGGCCCCCUGGACAAAGACUGACGCUCAGGUGCGAAAGCGUGGGGAGCAAACAGG
This 429-nucleotide ribosomal RNA is filed under the name Chloroflexota bacterium. Its description in RNAcentral is "Chloroflexi bacterium partial 16S ribosomal RNA". It matches the Rfam family "Bacterial small subunit ribosomal RNA", at positions 355 to 776 of the family's 1533-position model. Lineage: Bacteria; Bacillati; Chloroflexota. The record is from RNAcentral.